UUCUUUAAAGGGAAGGCAGGAGGCGGACAGCUUGGCUGUGACCCUUUAGCGCUGGGUCGCGUGUGGCCCACCCUCGGCCUGAGGCAUUGUUGGGUGGUUGGAGGUGGUUGUAGUAUUUGGAAAAGAACUUGUCCCUGAAGGGCUCAGGGGACUUGGUUUCUCAGCUCCUAAUAUGGAAAAUUAAGGCAUUUCUUACGAGAUGCAGAUUUUAAAGCAGGCAUAUCUACUCGACGGCUUUGGAUUACUGCACUGCACAAAUUCCAGUCUCUGUCGGUUUUGGCUGAGAAGAGCUGUGCUUCUCACCAGCUACUGGUGAGACAUUCGCCCUACAGGAAAGGGUCGGUAUGAUUGUGGACAUUGACAUGCGUAGCAAAAGAAAGUGGCUAAUUUGCGCCAAUAAUAAUAAAUUAGCUUGUAUUUGAAUUAGCCAAGUCUUUGCGGUUUUGCUAACUUGGCUUCACUUUGCAUGGAGUGGGAAGCGCCUGCUUCUGAAAAGGUGACUUUUUUCCUAAUUAGAAUGGACUCCUCUUAAGGCCAUGCAGUUUUCAAAGAAGAAAGACAAGCUGGACGUUUUGUUAGUAACAAAAUGUAGCUGAAGCAGAGAGAGAAGGCAGCAUACGUCAGCAUUUUCUUCUCUGCACUUACAAGAAAGAUCAAAGACUUUAAGACUUUCACUGUUUCUUCUACCGCUAUCUACUACGAGCUUCAAAGAGGAACCAGGAGUAUGGGAGGAGCAUGAAAGUGGACAAGGAACGUGACCAUUGAAGCACAGCACCACAGGGAGGGAUUUAGGCCCCAGGACUGCAGGCAGGCCUGGAUAAUAUCCAGCCUUCCACAAGAAGCUGGUGGAGCAGUGUUCCCUGACUCCUCCAAGGAAAGGAGACUCCCUUUCACGGUCUGCUAAGUAACGGGUGCCUUCCCAGACACUGGCGUUACCGCUUGACCAAGGAGCCCUCAAGCGGCCCUUACGCGGGCGUGACCGAAGGCUCACCUCUUGUCUUCUAGGUCACUUCUCACAAUGUCCCUUCAGCACCUGACCCUAUACCCGCUGGUUAUUCCUAGGUUAUAUUAGUAAUGCAACAAAGAGUAAUAUUAAAAGCUAAUGAUUAAUCAUGUUUAUAAUAAUGAUUGAUAAUUGUCCAUGAUCAUCUCUAUAUCUAAUUUGUAUUAUGACUAUUCUUAUUCUAACUAUUUUCUUUAUUAUACUGAAACAGUUUGUGCCUUCAGUCUCUUGCCUCGGCACCUAGGUAAUCCUCCACCCACAUCCUACUCUUGGACAACAGGAAAAUUAGAAAAGAUAAUGGAGAGCUUUUUCAGAAUGUUGAAUUUAGGAGUUGUGUGUGCUUUUGAUCUCCAUGUCAAUCCAUAAACAAUAAAUCCUGUUCUUAAAUUUG
RNAcentral lists this long non-coding RNA (1394 nucleotides) under Homo sapiens (human). Its description in RNAcentral is "non-protein coding lnc-ADAM10-1:1". The record is from RNAcentral. Lineage: Eukaryota; Metazoa; Chordata; Mammalia; Primates; Hominidae.